This 60-nucleotide transfer RNA is filed under the name Alectorobius rudis. RNAcentral describes it as "tRNA-Trp". Lineage: Eukaryota; Metazoa; Arthropoda; Arachnida; Ixodida; Argasidae. The record is from RNAcentral.
AAGACUUUAAGUUAACUUAAACUUUAUACCUUCAAAGUAUACAAUAUUUUUUAAGUCUUA